GACGUAGGGCGCGAGCGUUGUCCGGAUUUAUUGGGCGUAAAGAGCUCGUAGGCGGUUUGUCGCGUCGUCUGUGAAAACCCACGGCUCAACUGUGGGCUUGCAGUCGAUACGGGCAGGCUAGAGUGCGGUAGGGGAGACUGGAAUUCCUGGUGUAGCGGUGAAAUGCGCAGAUAUCAGGAGGAACACCGGUGGCGAAGGCGGGUCUCUGGGCCGUAACUGACGCUGAGGAGCGAAAGCGUGGGGAGCGAACAGG
Molecule: ribosomal RNA, 253 nt
Filed under: uncultured bacterium
Lineage: Bacteria
Description: partial 16S ribosomal RNA
Rfam family: Bacterial small subunit ribosomal RNA
Source: RNAcentral